RNAcentral lists this ribosomal RNA (441 nucleotides) under uncultured bacterium. RNAcentral's name for it is "bacterial SSU rRNA". It matches the Rfam family "Bacterial small subunit ribosomal RNA", at positions 954 to 1392 of the family's 1533-position model. The record is from RNAcentral.
GCAUAACGCGAAGAACCUUACCAAGGCUUGACAUCCCCUUGACCGGCACAGAGAUGUGCCCUCUCCUUCGGGAGCAAGGGUGACAGGUGGUGCAUGGUUGUCGUCAGCUCGUGUCGUGAGAUGUUGGGUUAAGUCCCGCAACGAGCGCAACCCUUAUCCUUAGUUGCCAGCAGGUUAAGCUGGGCACUCUAAGGAGACUGCUGAUGAUAAAUCGGAGGAAGGUGGGGAUGACGUCAAAUCAUCAUGCCCCUUAUGUCUUGGGCUACACACGUGCUACAAUGGUCGGUACAAAGGGCAGCGAAGGAGUGAUCUGGAGCGAAUCCCAAUAAACCGAUCUCAGUUCGGAUUGUAGGCUGCAACUCGCCUACAUGAAGUCGGAGUUGCUAGUAAUCGCAAAUCAGAACGUUGCGGUGAAUACGUUCCCGGGUCUUGUACACACCG